GAACUUUAAAAACUGCGUUAUAUCCAAAGGAAAUAACUAAGUGAAGUCGAAAACUGUAUCUUAGGUACUUUUCUCCCCUAUAAUCAAGGAAAAGAUCUAAUUAUUUAUUUUAACAAAAUAUAAAAUAUUGUUUUAUGGUUUAGUCUUUGGCGAGGAUGGUUGGGUGACCUAGACGUAAUGCCAUUAGAAUUCUGUUUAGUUAUUCCAUUUUUUGCAACGGAGCGUUUCCAUAAAAUGUAAAAACGGAUAGUAUUAAGCUUCUGUAUGAUAAGAACGGAAUCUGAACUGGUAGCUAAUCCGUUUGAUCAAUAUUUCUGAAAUGAAACUGUGUCCCCGCGGUGAAAUAUUUUAACAAUGAUAGCAAUAUGUUACGUUUGGACAAAUAUCGCUACUGCAAUAUCGGCGUAUGUGAUUUGACAGUGAUAGCAGUCAGUAAAGUUCUUAUUAGUCGCGCCACCAGCGUAAUAAAAUGUCCUUAUUACAUUUUAAAAUAACAACAUAAUAGAAGAUCCAGACAAUAUUGAUUGUUUAUAUGGCAACAUGGCAACUCUUUGCUACACCAUACGGUUGCCAUGACAACACGGGAACCCUUUGCAUCACCAUAUCGAUUACCAUGGUAACGCUACGCUACGUAUGUAUGAUAUAUGUAACUUUCAAAAGACACAAGAUUUAUGAAACAGCAAGUGUACAAUCAUACCUUAAUGUCUAAUUUAUACAGUUUAUGAACACUUAAGUUUAAUCUAAGUUUAACGUUUAAUCUAAGUUUAUCAAUUUAUAUAAUUUAUUUAUUUUAUGGGCAUUUAAGUAAUGUAUACCUAUUUAUGUAUUUAAACACUAGUAUUUCUUAAAAAAGAGAUCGAGCUCAAUUUUACAAUAUUGUAAAAAUGCACGACGAUGCCAUGUUUAGUUUUUAGUUCAUUUUCCAAAGUAUAAAUAUUAAGUAUCUUAGUUACCUACUUAUAUACAUAGUUUUAAAUUUUAUACAAAUAUAGGGCAUUGCAAUAUAGCAUAUCUAAAUUAGGAUCUUAUUUGCCGCUUUGAAAUACAAUUAUACAGUAUCCUAGUAUUGUUAAUUAAUAAUUAUUAUGAUAAUGUAGAAAAAAUAGUAAAUCCAUGUCCACAUUACCUAUGUGUUAUGGAAGAGAGAUUUAAGAUAAAAAUGGAGCUUGACUACAAUUAAUAUAAAUUGUGUCUUAUUCAAAAUGUUGAGAUUUGUGAAUAUGUCACUGUGACGAAAAAUAUCUAUUUUUGGUGUAAGACAGCAUGUAGGUACCUUUAUCCUUAGGAUGAGUUUGAUAUUGACGUAUUGCGCGUAUGUAACUUACUUUCUGUGUAUCCGGUUCAUAAUGUCAUAUUACUGGGAGCAAGACGUACAUAUGGGCAUUUGCAGAAUUUGGGACCCCCCAAUCAGUGUAAAUUGUUAACUAUAUACAAUGAACUCAUUGUCAGUUUAGAUAAUUAAAGCAUGAAAUUUCAAAAAAAAUAUUGUUUUUGUGUUAAUUACAUAAACUUUAAGCGAUAAUCUACAUGUAGAGAGUAAAAAAAGUAAAUUUUUAAACAAAUUUUGUGCUUCAUUGUCGUCACACACCUGACAGCGAGUUAUUUUUUGUUAACAACUUACGCUAACUGGGGGUCCCAAAUUCUGAAAAUGCCCCUAUAUAUGUGAGAUAAGUUACGCAGACGGUAGGAAUAUGUUACAGUGAAACUCGUUGUAUGGCUACUUAUUAACCAAAACGAUCUGUGUUGUAAAAUUUGAAUGUUCAAUGUGAUAAUAUGACUGUAACCUUUACUUACUCCCGGUGUUUCUACCCAAAACUCUUCUAAAAUAAAGUGACUUUGUAAA
Molecule: long non-coding RNA, 1843 nt
Organism: Leguminivora glycinivorella
Lineage: Eukaryota; Metazoa; Arthropoda; Insecta; Lepidoptera; Tortricidae
Exons: 2
Source: RefSeq, a predicted model, not a curated record